This 250-nucleotide ribosomal RNA is filed under the name uncultured bacterium. RNAcentral's name for it is "partial 16S ribosomal RNA". It matches the Rfam family "Bacterial small subunit ribosomal RNA", at positions 524 to 773 of the family's 1533-position model. The record is from RNAcentral.
UACGGAGGGGGCUAGCGUUGUUCGGAAUUACUGGGCGUAAAGCGCACGUAGGCGGAUAGUUAAGUCAGAGGUGAGAUCCCAGGGCUCAACCCUGGAACGGCCUUUGAUACUGGCUGUCUAGAGAUCGAGAGAGGUAAGUGGAAUUCCGAGUGUAGAGGUGAGAUUCGUAGAUAUUCGGAGGAACACCAGUGGCGAAGGCGGCUCACUGGCUCGAUACUGACGCUGAGGUGCGAAAGCGUGGGAAGCAAAC